AGGUGUGUAGUUCAGUGGUAGAGCAUCUGUUUUGGAUGCAGAAGGUCCCAGGUGCAAUCCCUGGCACAUCCA
Molecule: non-coding RNA, 72 nt
Organism: Rhineura floridana
Lineage: Eukaryota; Metazoa; Chordata; Lepidosauria; Squamata; Rhineuridae
Source: the annotation of a RefSeq genome assembly